This 742-nucleotide ribosomal RNA is filed under the name Vibrio parahaemolyticus AQ3810. Its description in RNAcentral is "bacterial SSU rRNA". It matches the Rfam family "Bacterial small subunit ribosomal RNA", at positions 779 to 1520 of the family's 1533-position model. Lineage: Bacteria; Pseudomonadati; Pseudomonadota; Gammaproteobacteria; Vibrionales; Vibrionaceae. The record is from RNAcentral.
UAGAUACCCUGGUAGUCCACGCCGUAAACGAUGUCUACUUGGAGGUUGUGGCCUUGAGCCGUGGCUUUCGGAGCUAACGCGUUAAGUAGACCGCCUGGGGAGUACGGUCGCAAGAUUAAAACUCAAAUGAAUUGACGGGGGCCCGCACAAGCGGUGGAGCAUGUGGUUUAAUUCGAUGCAACGCGAAGAACCUUACCUACUCUUGACAUCCAGAGAACUUUCCAGAGAUGGAUUGGUGCCUUCGGGAACUCUGAGACAGGUGCUGCAUGGCUGUCGUCAGCUCGUGUUGUGAAAUGUUGGGUUAAGUCCCGCAACGAGCGCAACCCUUAUCCUUGUUUGCCAGCGAGUAAUGUCGGGAACUCCAGGGAGACUGCCGGUGAUAAACCGGAGGAAGGUGGGGACGACGUCAAGUCAUCAUGGCCCUUACGAGUAGGGCUACACACGUGCUACAAUGGCGCAUACAGAGGGCAGCCAACUUGCGAAAGUGAGCGAAUCCCAAAAAGUGCGUCGUAGUCCGGAUUGGAGUCUGCAACUCGACUCCAUGAAGUCGGAAUCGCUAGUAAUCGUGGAUCAGAAUGCCACGGUGAAUACGUUCCCGGGCCUUGUACACACCGCCCGUCACACCAUGGGAGUGGGCUGCAAAAGAAGUAGGUAGUUUAACCUUCGGGGGGACGCUUACCACUUUGUGGUUCAUGACUGGGGUGAAGUCGUAACAAGGUAGCGCUAGGGGAACCUGGCGCUG